Molecule: ribosomal RNA, 434 nt
Filed under: Xanthonyx sp. FMNH UF226368
Lineage: Eukaryota; Metazoa; Mollusca; Gastropoda; Stylommatophora; Xanthonychidae
Description: partial 28S ribosomal RNA
Source: RNAcentral
AAACCGCCCAGAGGUAAACGGGUGGAUCCGCAAAGUCGGCCCGCGGAAUUCAGCGCGGCGCGCAGACCUGGGCGGCUGUGGCCGGGGAUUCCCUGCGGACCCCGCCGCGGCGUCGUUCGGGACUCCGCCGCGUGCACUUUCCGCGGGCAGAGAGCCACAACCGGUUCGGCUGGCGGCUACAAGUCCGCCGGGGUUGUCGGUGGGGGCGCUCGCGUCCCUACCAGCCCUGGCUGUUUUGUUGGCUAGCCGCCGCCGGACCGAGGAUGACAUGUCCGCACGCUUCGAGGCCACCCUCCCCUCCUGGUGAGUCUCGACCGGGAGAGACUGGGCAACCGUGUCUCCCGACCGCUCGCCGGCGAUCGGCGUGGGGCUGGCCGGGCCGUGCCUCAAGGUUGGUGGCAAGCAUGUCGGCAUUCCACCCGACCCGUCUUGAA